Molecule: ribosomal RNA, 492 nt
Filed under: uncultured bacterium
Lineage: Bacteria
Description: partial 16S ribosomal RNA
Rfam family: Bacterial small subunit ribosomal RNA
Source: RNAcentral
AUUGAACGCUGGCGGCAUGCUUUACACAUGCAAGUCGAGCGGUAACAGGCCUUCGGGUGCUGACGAGUGGCGAACGGGUGAGUAAUGCAUCGGAACGUGCCCAGAGGUGGGGGAUAACGCAGCGAAAGCUGUGCUAAUACCGCAUGUGAUCUGAGUAUGAAAGCGGGGGACCAGGCAGCAAUGUUUGGCCUCGCGCCUUUGGAGCGGCCGAUGUCAGAUUAGGUAGUUGGUGGGGUAAAGGCCUACCAAGCCGACGAUCUGUAGCUGGUCUGAGAGGACGACCAGCCACACUGGGACUGAGACACGGCCCAGACUCCUACGGGAGGCAGCAGUGGGGAAUUUUGGACAAUGGGCGCAAGCCUGAUCCAGCAAUGCCGCGUGCGGGAAGAAGGCCUUCGGGUUGUAAACCGCUUUUGUACGGAACGAAAAGGCUCUGGCUAAUACCUGGGGCUGAUGACGGUACCGUAAGAAUAAGCACCGGCUAACUACGUG